GGGCCCGCACAAGCGGUGGAGCAUGUGGUUUAAUUCGAUGAUACGCGAGGAACCUUACCAGGGCUUAAAUGUACGUUGCAUGAUUUAGAGAUAGAUCUUUCUUCGGACUACGUACAAGGUGCUGCAUGGUUGUCGUCAGCUCGUGCCGUGAGGUGUCAGGUUAAGUCCUAUAACGAGCGCAACCCCCUGUCGUUAGUUGCCAACGAGUAAUGUCGGGAACUCUAACGAAACUGCCGGUGCAAACCGUGAGGAAGGUGGGAUGACGUCAAAUCAUCACGGCCCUUACGUCCUGGGCUACACACGUGCUACAAUGGUCGGUACAGAGAGCAGCCACUACGCGAGUAGGAGCAAAUCUUCAAAGCCGAUCUC
This 369-nucleotide ribosomal RNA is filed under the name uncultured bacterium. RNAcentral describes it as "bacterial SSU rRNA". It matches the Rfam family "Bacterial small subunit ribosomal RNA", at positions 917 to 1289 of the family's 1533-position model. The record is from RNAcentral.